GGCGGACGGGUGAGUAACACGUGGGCAACCUGCCUUAUACAGGGGGAUAGCCACCCGAAAGGGUGAUUAAUACCGCAUAACACUGAGAAGCCACGUGGCUAUUCAGUCAAAGGAGCAAUCCGGUAUAAGAUGGGCCCGCGGUCCAUUAGAUAGUUGGUGAGGUAACGGCUCACCAAGUCGACGAUGGGUAGCCGAUCUGAGAGGAUGACCGGCCACAUUGGAACUGAGACACGGUCCAGACUCCUACGGGAGGCAGCAGUGGGGAAUAUUGCGCAAUGGGGGAAACCCUGACGCAGCAACGCCGCGUGAGCGAUGAAGGCCUUCGGGUCGUAAAGCUCUGUCUUUUGGGACGAUAAUGACGGUACCAAAGGAGGAAGCCACGGCUAACUACGUGCCAGCAGCCGCGGUAAUACGUAGGUGGCGAGCGUUGUCCGGAAUUACUGGGCGUAAAGGGUGCGUAGGCGGAAGCUUAAGUCAGAUGUGAAAUCCCAAGGCUCAACCUUGGAGUGGCAUUUGAAACUGGGUUUCUUGAGUGCA
Molecule: ribosomal RNA, 537 nt
Filed under: uncultured bacterium
Lineage: Bacteria
Description: bacterial SSU rRNA
Rfam family: Bacterial small subunit ribosomal RNA
Source: RNAcentral